Molecule: long non-coding RNA, 3422 nt
Organism: Papaver somniferum (opium poppy)
Lineage: Eukaryota; Viridiplantae; Streptophyta; Magnoliopsida; Ranunculales; Papaveraceae
Exons: 4
Source: RefSeq, a predicted model, not a curated record
UCCUCUUUCAUCACUUCUCUCUCAGUUAUCCAAAACUCAUCUUUCUUUUCUUUUAUCUUCCGAGUUCUGCAACUCUUCUCCAUCUAUCUCCAUCUCCUCCAAGAGAUUAGAAUUUGAAACCCAACUUCAACAAUAAUAGUGAAAUAGAAGAAUCAAGAUAAUCAUCGUUUUUUUUAUGAUAUCCCCAAACCCUUUCUUCAUCUCCUCUACCAAAGUUUCUUUAUCACCUACACAACGAAAACCCUAUCUUCUAAAUUAUGUGCAUCGUCAUUAAACAAGCCCUUUAUUCCACCUCGUUCUUAUUGAUGUCUUCUAUUAUUUUUUUCGUUUUCUGGAAACAGAAACAGAACCAUUUCUUAGAUCUGUAACCAAUUUCUUAGAUUUGUAACAUGUAAUCUCAAUUGUGAACCAUUCUUAAAUCCAUUUUUUUUGCCUUUAUCUGUUAGGGUUCUAAUCAACUACUCUUCUAUUUCGUAAACGGAACCCCUUUUAUUUCAACAUCGGUAGUAUAUCAGAGAAGAGUACCACAAAAAUCAGAGAAGAUGUUCUGGUUAUUAUCAUUGGAUUUAUUUGUGUUAUGUUUUAUUCGAAGUAAUACAUCUACAAAGCAGCCAUCAGGGAUCAUCUGGAACACAUGAUUCUUGGGGACCUCAAAUUAAGGGUCUUACUUGAGACACCAAAUGAUGAGAUGAACAUCAUUAGAAACGAUUCAUUUGUUUUAUUGAUGAUCUCAGUGGAGUAAGAAAUAGAAUUGACUAUUGAGGUUUGUGCAUUUGAUAAUUGUGGAAUGGGCUAGAGUUCGAUACCCACUAGAAAAUCUGAACACAUGGUAAUUUCUAUCACCCCCUCUUGUGAAUUCGAUUUGAUUUUUAUUAGAUACACAAAAAUAGUGUGAUUUUCAUUCAUUUUUGAAAAUUGUUGUAAUGAUACAAGACAACAAUAUGGCAAAAGAUGCAUUAGCAUUAAUUGAUCAUUUAGGUUGGGGUAAAGCUCAUGCUUUCAAUCAUUUAAGUUGACAACCCCCUUAUUUUCAUUUGGAUAACUUGUUGUAUAAUCUCUGCUCAGGGAAUGUUGAAAUUCUUCAAAUGGGUUUCUUGGUAUGAAACUCAAAUUGGAAUUUCAUAUUCUCCCAAUUAUGGAGCUCAUGGUCUGAAAUAUUUUGGUUAGUCCUAUUUUUUGUAGGCAUGCUUCGUAUGAUUUGGUUGCUCUGAAUUUUGGAGAUACUUAGAUUAAGACCGUAUGAUAUGUUCCAGUUGUACCGAAGAAUUUGUGACUUACUGGACUUUUGGUUUUGUAAAUAUAGAAUUUGUGAUUGAUAAGUUACAUUACUGAGAGCUCCACAAGUACCAGGGGCCAUCAAUUAUUUCAUGGAAUUCCUCUUGUGGUCAUUUAAUUUGCAUCCAAGUGAUGAUUUGAAAAUCCUAACUAUUUCUUCUUAUCUGAUAUAUGAUAUCGGGCAUGCCAAGCUUGCAGGUUUGCUUCCACAUUACAGGUUAUGUAAGUUUCAUUUUUCUUUUCCUUGCCUCGUUUUAAAGUUAAUCAACAUCUGAGUUGUUUUACUGUUCUUAUGUCUCAUUGGAUAUGUUAUUUGUAUUGGUUUCUGUUUAUCUUGCAAUGCCACAGACUCCCGUUUCACUCCAUCCUUGAUUGACAGGGGAUAUUGCGAUUGGAUCCUUAAUGGAAGAGAAAGUUGAGGUGGAGGAUAUUGUUGCAGAACCGAUUCUGGAUAUUGUCCAUGAUAAAUAUGCUCAUUACAAGAAAACUGAGGUUGAUUAUCUCAGUUUUGUUGUGACAUUGUUUGAUUUUCCUGUUCCAUUUAAUCAAAGUGUACGAUUGAAAAUCAACUGAUUCAUAGUCUUACUUGCUCUAGUGACAUUCUUCAAUUUGAACCUUCGUAUGCUUUCACAAUUGUUCCAAUUAAAAAUGUAUUUUACUUUAAUAUACUUGCUUUAUUACUGAAAUCCUAAAAAACUUCAAAUGGAAGAAUGCAAACUUUGGGUAAUGUUAGAUGGGUUAGGCUUGUAACACGGAGGUUGAGGUAAUGACUAAACCUUGCUUAUUUUGCAUAAUUCUAGCUGUGUAUUUACCAAGUAUAUGGUUUAACAGUUAGACAUCAACGAGAAGAUGAGGGUCAUUCUAGUUGUUUCGGUAAAUGUUUCACUUAUAUGUCACAGACCUGUUUUCAAGUAUGCUUUGUUUUUCCAGCUUCGGCAUUAACAUUCUAACACAUCAUAAACAUGUAUGCAGAAGAAAUUGAUUGUAAAUACAUUACAAUUCUAUAUUUCAGUUCUAACUUCAUAUGUAUGUAUGAAAAAAAUCUUUAAAGGGGCUUAGUCUGAUAAAAAGGUCUGUAUAGUUCGUCUUCCUUUAGAUUAAACUGUUGAUCCAUAGUAUUUGAUAACAUUUAUAACUUGGAUACUUGUACAUUUUUUGCGUCUUGAACCAGAUUGAGCUUCUCUCUUUUUCUUUGAUCAAGCUUUCGUUGGUUGAGUAUGACAUGCCUAAAUUCCCACCAUGUCUAUUAGCUGAUGCAACUAUCCUUUAUAUACUAUUAUUUUCCAAUGCAGAUCCUUGAAAAAGUUAAACUUGCAUAUGGCGUCCAUUAGCAUUGUUUUCCUUUACUGCAGGGAUGGGGUUUCUUAGGAGACCACUUGCUAUUGUUGCUUCUUUCAUGACCGUCAUUAGCAUUUCUUUCCUAAAUGAUUGAUAUCAUCGUUUUUUCCUCUAGUUCUUUCAUUUGAUAUAUAGAAAUCAAAUAAUAUGUGUUGUGCUAUAAUGCACAACACAUUCUAAUUGUCACCAUCAUACCAUUGUUGUUAAUCUUUGACUGCUAUUUUUCAAGAAGUAUAUGUGUUGUGCUAUAAUGCUCUUACAAUUGACAGAACUUCAAUCAUUCUAAUUGCAUGCACUUUUCUUCUCUUAUUAGCUUGUCCAAUCUGCUUACGAUUCUGUGUUGGGUCAUCUAGUUAGAGCCAUUUGCUGGUUAUUAUGGAGUCAUUGGUCACCACAUAAAAAUAAAUGGCAUUGUUCUAAACUUCAUCGAUUUCCAACUGUACUUAUUUCAGGCACCCAUACAAAGUUAUUUGUGCGCUCACUUCUAAUGGAUAUGCUCUUCUUUUAGAAAGAAUUCCAUGGUCGGAGACGAAGAAGGGACAAAAGAGAUAGCACCAGGGAAGAUGAAAGUCCAGUUUUCAUGCAGGUGCAUCCUGGAACGAAAAUAACAAGCGAUCGGUAUUGCAAUUGAGAGCCCAAGGUUGAAAAAACUUUAGGAAGCUAUUACGAAUUUGUUUUGUUAUGUAUAAACAAUUGAAGUGGGUGUAUAUUCAGGUUUUCAUAUAUUGUGAACUUGGGUAGUAGUUAGAAAUUGAAGUGUAAAUUGAAUCUAGCUUUUAAUGUAAAUAUUUACUUUGUUUCCAUGUUAA